This 1170-nucleotide ribosomal RNA is filed under the name Triticum aestivum (bread wheat). RNAcentral describes it as "partial small subunit ribosomal RNA". The record is from RNAcentral. Lineage: Eukaryota; Viridiplantae; Streptophyta; Magnoliopsida; Poales; Poaceae.
AUGCUUGCACUUGCAGUCUUCCUGCUCCUGCUCACAGAAACCACAGCAGGGUGGUCCAAGCCAGAUACAUGGCGGAUGCAUGAUCGAGGAGGAUGCAUCGCAAGGGAAAGGGAAGCCCUGCUGUCCAUCAAGGCCGGCAUCACGGCCGACCCGGAGCACCUCCUCUCGUCGUGGCAGGGGCAGGACUGCUGCCGUUGGGAGGGCGUCAGAUGCAGCAACAUGACCGGCCAUGUCAUCGAGCUCGAGCUCCAUGCACGGGGCGACUUCUCUCUUCUGGAAGGUGAGAUAAGCUCUUCUCUGAAAGACCUGGAGCAUCUGCAGCACCUGGACCUUGGCGGUAACUUUUUUCUCACCGGGCCUCAAGGCCGCCUCCCGGAGUUUGUAGGGUCUCUUCGUGACCUGCGGUACCUCAACCUUUCAAACGUGAAUUUUUCUGGCGUGGUGCCCCGCCAGCUUGGCAACCUCUCGAAAUUGCAAUUCCUUGAUCUGACUUCUCAAGAUUUACACUCAGAUGAUCUCUCAUGGCUGCCACAGCUCUCUUUGCUCAAGUAUCUUGACAUGAGCUAUGUGAACCUCGGUGCCGUGAUAAGCUUGGUUGACACAGUGAACAUGAUGGCCUCUCUUGAGGUCCUCAAGCUACAGUGGUGUUCGCUUAAUACCACAAGCCAGUUUGUGUCCCACUCGAACCUCACCAAGCUCAAGAUCCUCGACAUCUCUAACAAUGCAAUUCCAAUGCAGUUCGACACUAUUAGUUGGGUUUGGGAUGCACCCAACCUCAAAUAUCUGAACCUUAAGAACACCGGUGUAUAUGGCAUGUUUCCUGCACAGUUGGGAAACUUGAGUUCACUUGAAGUCCUUCAGCUGAGUGGCAACCAUCUAAAGGGAAUGAUACCAGAUACACUUUGCAGCCUGAGAAUAUUUGAACUGGCAGAGAAUGGUGUUCAAGGGAACGUGGUGGAGUUCAUCAAGAGGUUACCAACAUGUUCAUGGAGUCAGUUGCAGGUGCUGAAUCUGGAAGGCAAUAACAUAACUGGCUCCUUGCCAGACUGGAUCAGCCACAUGACUAGCUUGACCAUUCUUGAUCUUGGGUUCAACAAACUUACAGGACCUCUACCCGCUGGGAUAGGAGAGGAUGACUGGAAGGAAACUUGGGACAGGAACCAGGCGUAG